GACGAACGCUGGCGGCGUGCUUAACACAUGCAAGUCGAACGGUGAAGCGCCUUCCUUUUUGGUGGGUGUGGAUGAGUGGCGAACGGGUGAGUAACACGUGAGUAACCUGCCCCCUUCUUCUGGAUAACCGCAUGAAAGUGUGGCUAAUACGGGAUAUUCUGGGUCUGUCGCAUGAUGGGUCUGGGAAAGAUAUUGUUUCGGUGGGGGAUGGGCUCGCGGCCUAUCAGCUUGUUGGGGGGGUGAUGGCCUACCAAGGCGGUGACGGGUAGCCGGCCUGAGAGGGUGGACGGUCACACUGGGACUGAGACACGGCCCAGACUCCUACGGGAGGCAGCAGUGGGGAAUAUUGCACAAUGGGCGCAAGCCUGAUGCAGCGACGCCGCGUGAGGGAUGGAGGCCUGCGGGUUGUGAACCUCUUUCGCCAGUGAAGCAGGCCUGCCUCGUUUGUGGGUGGGUUGACGGUAGCUGGAUAAGAAGCGCCGGCUAACUACGUG
Molecule: ribosomal RNA, 494 nt
Filed under: uncultured bacterium
Lineage: Bacteria
Description: partial 16S ribosomal RNA
Rfam family: Bacterial small subunit ribosomal RNA
Source: RNAcentral